UCAGGCAAAGGGAUAUUUACAGAUACUUUUUAAAAUUUGUUUGAGUUGAGGUAGAGUAAAUAUCUAUAUUCUCCUUUGCCUGCAG
Molecule: microRNA precursor, 85 nt
Organism: Cebus imitator (Panamanian white-faced capuchin)
Lineage: Eukaryota; Metazoa; Chordata; Mammalia; Primates; Cebidae
Source: Ensembl